Grus americana (Whooping crane) is the source of this 525-nucleotide long non-coding RNA. RefSeq lists it as uncharacterized. The record is from RefSeq and is a predicted model, not a curated record. The transcript has 3 exons. Lineage: Eukaryota; Metazoa; Chordata; Aves; Gruiformes; Gruidae.
CAUCUAGCUCAGGUUUGCAUGGGCUCUCUCUGGCCUCGUUUUCCUGGCAGCGUGGGUGAGAAGGGGCAGGCGGACACUUACUGGCUUUGGAGAGGAGCUUCCGCAGCUGAAGAGACCAGAAAAAGGUGGAGUCAAGCGACUGGAGCUACAGAAGAGGAAGGGAGGAAAGGACAGACAGAUGGAUAAAGAAGCGCCUGAACUGUACAAUUGCCUGGCAGUGCAGAUAGUUGGAGCUCCAGACACUGCACAGAAAUGGUGUUGGGAUCUGCAGGGACAGGUGGGACCUGCUGCAAUUGCUCAUGAAUGUGAACUGGACUUGAUGGACUUGAAGGACUUGAAUGAAACCAGACUGACUGUGUAUGGUUUUCUUCCCAACUCCAAUUCCAACCUCCAUGCUCGGCACCAAUGAACAAGAGACCUUGUGCUGUUUUCCAGAUGUCAGUGGCUGCCAGUUAGCAGAGAACAUCACUUAGGUAAUGGUGCAGUUGUUCUGUGAACAGUACAAGACAGACAUUGAGUCCAGAG